AAGGUUCCAAUGACAUUCGGAACGAAACUCACACCUUCUCUGGAAAAACCAGUUGCGGAUAUGAGCCUUUUGUCGUUAGAUAAUUGGUUCCUUGAUGUAUCUAACAGCUAGUAGAUCGGAUAUUAUGUUUUCUGUUUGUUAUUGUGCACGGUUGUCACACCCCAAAACCAAGAACGGCGGAAACGUUCUGGGGCGGAGGACGUCAUGUAUAGUAUCACAACACAGUAAAUGUAAAUAAGCAAACAACAUCAUCCAUUGCAUUAAAUAUAUAAUUUCAAUACAAGCGUGUUCUGUACAGUUAUAGACACCAAAAUAAUGUAAAACAAAAUAAUAUGAGAUGAGUCUUGAAUACGCUCCAUCUUCUCAAAAGCUGGCCUCGGUACCUGUCUACUGAUGACCUGAGAAUACAAGUUAUUUUGAAAGAGUUUAUCAGCAUUAAGCUGGUGAGUUCAUAAGUAUUUUAGUGUCAAUGUUUGAUGUCAAAACGUUUGAACCUGACGCAAGUAUAAGUUGAAAAUGUAUGUAAGUGUUUGAUAGUGUUUGUAAAAGUUUGAAUCUCUCAGAAAAUCCUAUAUUUUCUAUUAAAGUAACCUUCUACCAAGGCUUAACUGUUUUGUAUACUCGUUUGUUGUAAAAGUAUGUGAUUUCCCAAGUGUAACUAUCAUUUAAUAAAAUAUAGUAUGUACAUUAAUGCUUAAGUGAGGUUAUCACUAAAAUAUGUAAUGGGUAAAUCAUUGUAGUACUGUAGUUUUGUAUAAUAAGAACUACUGUUGUACUAACUACCUUAAACCGGAUUUAUAUUAAGGUAAAAUGUGAUAAAUUGCACCAUGCUAUCGACUGGUAACAACGACAUAAUGAAUGGUCGUAAUAAAGAAAUGACGUUUGGCACCCGCAGACCUGCAAGUCCGGCUGUAGCUAGCAGCAAGGUGUAGGAUAGUCAAUCCAGUAUAGAUCUAUACGCAAACUCACGCUCUCCCUCCAAGAGAAUUCUGGCUACAACUCGGGCCAUGACAUUUAAGGCAUGCUCCGACACAGUGGAUCACAAUUGUUAACGUAUUCAUGUAUAUGUAAUGUUUCUCUUUCUAGUAUAGCUGUAUAUGUACUUGUUUCUAGUAUAGUUGUAUAUGUACUUGUUUCUAGUAUAGCUGUAUAUGUACUUGUUUCUAGUAUAGCUGUAUAUGUACUUGGUUCUAGUAUAGCUGUAUAUGUACUUGUUUCUAGUAUAGCUGUAUAUGUACUUGUUUCUAGUAUAGCUGUAUAUGUACUUGUUUCUAGUAUAGCUGUAUAUGUACUUGUUUCUAGUAUAGCUGUAUAUGUACUUGUUUCUAGUAUAGCUGUAUAUGUACAUGUUUCUAGUAUAGCUGUAUAUGUACUUGUUUCUAGUAUAGCUGUAUAUGUACUUGUUUCUAGUAUAGCUGUAUAUGUACUUGUUUCUAGUAUAGCUGUAUAUGUUCCUGUGUUACCCCGAUGGUAACUAACUAUUGAUGUACUGAUAAGUAUGAAUAUGGAAGUACUUUUAUGUCUAUACAUGUAUAUAUGAUAUAUAAGUAAUAUGGAAACGACCUUCGGAUGGUCACCCGAAAUCCCACCAGACCACAUCCAAAUCGAGAAAAAGGAAAUAGGGCGGAUGGCCUUCCUAAGCCCUUUAAACAUUAUUUAUACAUCUAUACAUAUAUGGGCAUGCAAUUGAAUAUAUAAAAGCAUAAAAUAAGUUUUCAUAAAACAUUUGAAGCAUAAAUAUUAUUUCAAGAAAAGAUCGACUUGAUGUCAAUCUUUAAAACAAUUAGAAGGCAUAAGUUAAUAAAACAGUUUAAGUAUAAGAAGCAUUUGUUUGAAUCACAGUCUGUAAAUAAGUUUGGAUAGUAAAAGAGUUUGUAAAACAUUUCAAAGUAAAGCAGUUUGAUAAACAGUUUGAACAGUGGUAAAAAUCGUUGUUUUCCUAGUUAUUAAUCACAUGUGAUUAAAUGCAAUCACAUGUGAUUGAAGCAAUAACUAUAAGUAUUUGACUGUUAUCCCCCCCCAUAAAGUAUUUAAAACAUUUAAAAUCAUUUCAAAGGUUGAUUCAAGGGGUAUGAACUCACUUGUGGUGAGUUGUACGAAUUGCAGUGUCGGAUACCGUGCUAGGUGGCAAACGGAGACUUGUUUACACGCACGAGCCUAGUUAUCAUAUAAUAAGCAUAUAUAUAACUAAUUAGACAAAUAAUAACUUAAUAAAUAAGUUAAAACACUUAGGAACAUGUAAACACUUUUUAUAAGUGUUAAAGGUCCUAAUGGUUGCAUCUAAGUUGCUACGGGACAAGGCAAAAGGGUUUGAAACAUCAAAUGGCCUUGCAUAAGAGUUCACCACCCAACAAACCCCACCCUUUGGAGUUUACGGCCGUAAACUCAUGGGUUUAUGGCCGUGAACUCCUCACAUGGUGGUUUUGGGUGUUUUAAAGUGUUAUCUUGAUCCUAGAACACUCCUAGCUUUGUUGGAAUAAUACAUGAAGUAGUUUAAGGCCCUAGAAUGCUCCAUAGGGGAGUUUACGGCCUAUAGUCCAUAUACCCUAGAGUUUACGGCCGUAAACUCCUAUGGGGUGAUGGCUUUUAAUUCAUUUGAGGCACUUGCACAUCAAGGAUAGCUUCCAUGAUUUUAUCUAAGGCUAAUGGGGACAAGAGGCACACAUUUGUGCCUUCACUUGGAGUUUACGGCCCAAGAGGUGUUCCUUGGCCGUAAACUCCCUUUAAGGGAUGUUCUUGAUGUCUUUUACUCCCCAUUCAAGUCCUAGGUGUUCAAUGGUAAUUGUCUUAAGGCCUUAGGGGUGUUUGGAGUGCUUUUAACCCUUGGAAAAGGGGUUUACGGCCCAAGAGAUGUUCUUGGCCGUAAACUCCUAUAAACUUAUGAUUUUGAAGUGUUUUGAUGUCUAAAAUAGGUACAAGCAUUUGAGGGUUAAAGUCCUUAAGCUUUAGGGGUAGUUUAGGGCACUAAAUGCCCUUGAAAAGGGGUUUACGGCCCAAGAAAAGUCCUUGGCCGUAAACUCCUAUUACUUGUUGAUUUUGGAUGCUUUCUAGUCUCUAAAGAUCAUACACAAGGUCCUUAAUAAGUUGCUUAACAAGGGAAUGGGUCUAGGUAGCCUUAAAGCUCCAUUUUGGAGUUUACUCCCCAAGAACGUUCUUGGGCGGUAAACUCCCGGAUCUUGUAAUCUAAACAUGUAAUUGAUGUUAUAAAGCAUCUAACAAGUAUUGAAACACAUUUAGUAAAGUAGACUCACAAUCUGGGAUGAAAACCCGAAGAUCCGUCAGAGAGAAAAUGGCUUUUCUCUAUUUGGAAUUGUGAAUAAUGAAUUAAUUUAAUUCAGAAAACUAUUUAUAGUCCUGAAAUAUUUUGGCAGAAAAUAUUUUUAUUCCUGAUAUAGGACUUUAACAUUAUGAAACUUGGAAUGCUCAAAUUUCACAAAACCAGGAGCAUCCACUCUCCUGAUAACUCCUUAAACAUAAACCCUAAUGUACACAAACUGGUUCGGAAAAGUGUGAAAAUCACCGAAACUGGACUAGCUUCUAUUGAAUAGAUAAUGUUCGUACAAAAGGAAAUUUCGGGUUGUCACAUCAUCCCCCUGUUAGAGGGAAUUUCGUCCCGAAAUUAGAAUUUAAGCAAUUAUGAAGUUACAACAAUUAAGCGAAAACUUGAGGGUAUUUCAGCUUCAUCUGAUCCUUGCGUUCCCAAGUGAAUUCCGGUCCUCGCUUGGCGUUCCAGCGAACCUUCACGAUAGGGAUACGACUUUGUUUCGUCUGCUUGACCUCAGGUCCAUGAUCUCUACAGGUUCUUCCACGAAGUUGAGGCUCUCGUUGAUCUCGAUCUCGUCGAGUGGGAUUACAAGAGUCUCGUCGGACAGACACUUUUUCAAGUUAGAUACGUGGAAUGUAGAAUGUACGUUACGAAGUGCGUCUGGUAGUUCGAGUUUGUAAGCUACGGGGCCGACUCUUGCAAGAAUCUCGAAAGGCCCUAUGUACCUCGGAUUAAGCUUUCCACGCUUGCCGAAGCGUAUCAAGCCCUUCCAGGGUGAGACUUUGAGGAGGACUCGGUCUCCCACCUGAAAUUCCAAAGGUUUCCUUCGUUUAUCAGCGUAGCUCUUCUGUCGGUCUCUAGAGGCUUUCAAUCGUUCACGGAUCUGAACGAUUUUCUCUGUUGUUUCCCGAAUGAUCUCCGGACCGGUGAGAGUACUGUCGGAAGUUUGCCCCCUGGCUAAUUGGGUAUCACCCACCUCAGCCCAGCACAGAGGGGAUCUGCACUUACGGCCGUAGAGAGCUUCAAAUGGAGCAGCCUUGAUGCUCGUGUGAUAACUGUUAUUAUAGGAAAACUCGACAAGGGGUAAAUGAGUAUCCCAUGCCUUCCCAAAGUCAAUCACGCAGGCUCGCAACAUAUCUUCUAGAGUUUGGAUGGUCCUCUCACUCUGUCCGUCGGUCUGAGGAUGGUAGGCUGUGCUCAUGUCCAGCCUCGUUCCUAGGGAAUGUUGUAGUGAUUGCCAAAAUCUUGAGGUGAACCUACUAUCUCUAUCGGAGAUAAUGGACAUAGGUACACCAUGUAGCCGUACGAUUUCCCUAAUGUAUGUUCUCGUAAGCUUCUCCAUCUUGUCGGUUUCUUUGAUAGGCAGGAAGUGUGCAGACUUGGUCAAUCUAUCAACGAUGACCCAUAUGGUGUCAAGUCCACCCGUUGUCUUGGGCAACUUGGUUAUGAAAUCCAUAGUGAUCCGCUCCCACUUCCAUUCCGGGAUCUCUGGUUGCUGCAAUAAACCAGAGGGCUUCUGGUACUCGACCUUAACCUUUGCGCAAGUAAGGCAUUUACUUACGAAGGUAGCAAUCUCUGCUUUCAUAUUAGGCCACCAGUAUAGCUUCUUAAGAUCCAGAUACAUCUUAUCUGAACCUGGGUGGACGGAAUACCGAGUGUUGUGCGCCUCGGUCAUGACCAAGUCUCGGAAGCCACCAUGUUUCGGUGUCCAGAUCCGGUUCAUGAAAUAUAAAGCUCCGUCACCCUUGGCUUCUAAAUUCUUGUCCAUUCCUCUAAGGGAUUCACUUGACACAUUUUCAGAUUUCAUGGCCUCAAGUUGAGCCGCCUGAAUUUGCUUAGUCAGGUGUGAAUGGAUGGUUAUCGAUAAUGACUUGACUUUGCGACCAGAAUAUUCCUUCCGACUUAGGGCGUCUGCUACUACGUUGGCUUUACCCGGAUGAUAACGAAUAUCGCAUUCGUAAUCACUGAGUAGCUCGACCCACCGUCGUUGUCUCAUGUUGAGCUCCUUCUGAUCGAAAAUGUGUUGUAAACUCUUGUGGUCGGUAAAGAUAGUGCUCUUCGUUCCAUACAAGUAAUGUCUCCAGAUCUUCAGAGCAAACACUACUGCUCCUAGUUCAAGAUCGUGGGUCGUGUAGUUAACCUCGUGUGUCUUCAACUGUCUCGAGGCGUAGGCGAUGACCUUACCUCGCUGCAUCAGAACACAUCCGAGUCCUUGAUUGGAUGCAUCGCAAUAGACUACGAAGUCUUCUAUUCCUUCGGGAAGGGAUAGUAUUGGUGCGGUGCACAAGGCUCGUUUGAGCGUUUGGAACGCUCUUUCUUGUUUCUCUUCCCAGUCAAAGGCCACGCCUUUCUGGGUUAGGGUUGUAAGAGGCUUCGCUAUUCGUGAGAAGUUCUGAAUGAACCUGCGGUAGUAGCCAGCGAGACCUAGAAAUUGACGAAUUUCUGUAGGAGUCUUCGGUGCUGACCAGUUCUCAAUGGCCUUAAUUUUGGAUGGGUCCACGUGGAUUCCCUCUUCGCUUACCACGUGUCCUAAGAAUUCGACUCUUCGGAUCCAAAAUUCACAUUUCGAGAACUUCGCAUAAAGUUUCUCCUUUCGUAAUGUCUCUAGAACUUGUCGCAGAUGAUCACCAUGCUCUUUCUUACUUCGGGAGUAGAUCAGGAUGUCGUCAAUGAAAACGAUGACGAACUGAUCUAAGUAAGGUCGGCAUACUCUAUUCAUCAGAUCCAUGAAGACUGCGGGCGCAUUGGUCAAUCCGAAUGGCAUCACCACGAACUCGUAGUGUCCGUAACGAGUUCGGAAGGCUGUCUUCGGCACAUCCUCCUCUAGCACUCGUAACUGGUGAUAUCCGGAUCUCAGAUCAAUCUUGGAAAAAUAGUUCGCCCCUUGCAGUUGGUCGAAUAGAUCGUCUAUGCGUGGCAGAGGGUAACGAUUUUUGAUCGUCAAUUUGUUGAGUUCUCUGUAGUCAAUACACAUACGGAAUGAUCCGUCUUUCUUCUUAACGAACAAGACCGGUGCUCCCCAAGGUGAGAAACUUGGUCUUAUAAAGCCCUUGCUGAGCAGUUCGUUAAGUUGACCAGAGAGUUCUUGCAUCUCGGCUGGUGCUAAACGGUAGGGCGACUUGGCUACUGGGGUAGCUCCUGGGACUAAGUCGAUUCUGAACUCGACUUGUCGUUGCGGAGGUAACCCGGGUAGUUCUUCUGGGAAAAUGUCGGGGAAGUCGCUCACUACUGGGAGGUUCUUUAGUUCUUUCGUUUCUAGGUUCGUGUCGACGACGUGAGCAAGGAAUGCGUGGUAUUCUUUGCGCAGAUAUUUCUGUGCUUGAAUACUAGAUAUAAUGCGAAGACUCGCACCAGGUUUGUCGCCGUAGACUAUAAGAGUUUCGUUAGACGGGAGGUUUAGUCGGACUGCUUUCUCGUAGCACAUGAUGUCGGCGCGAUGAAGACUUAACCAAUCCAUGCCGAUAAUAACGUCGAAACUUUUUAUUGAGACCGGCAUAAGGUCGAUUGGGAAUGAAUGGUUAUCUAAGGUUAGAAGACAACCUAAGUAUAUGCUAUUAGUACUUUCAGUUUUCCCAUUGGCCAUUUCUACUGUGAAUUGUUCAUUAAGUGCGUGUGGUUGUUGCUUAAGCAUGCGAGCAAAUUUGUGGUUUACGAAGCUUCGCUCCGCUCCACUAUCGAACAGAAUGCAUGCAUAGGAGUUAUCAAGGAGGAACGUACCAGUCACCACUGUCGGGUCAGCAACUGCUUCCCCGUGGCCUAUUGCUAGUACCCUCCCUGCUCCUCCAGUAUUCCUCGCCUUGGGGCAGUCCCUUUUAAAGUGGCCUGUUUCGCCACAUCCAUAGCAAGUUGGGCUCGCGCCUGAGCCAGGAACUUGGGAGAUCGGUUGUGCCGGGAACUUACAGAAUCGGACGGUGUGUCCUUUUCUGUUGCAGUUAGAACACUGCAUUUCACGACAGGCGCCGUUGUGGUGGAAGUUGCAUUUGUUGCACUUCGGCAAACUUCCAGCAUACUGCUUCCCCGGAGCAGUAACAGCAGUAGGGGUUACCGCAGCAUGUACUGCCACGAUUUGCUGUUUCUUUGAAGCUCGCUGCUUCUUCUUCUCAUCCCAAAACUUCCGCUUGGUGCCAGCGGGUUUAGAGGGUUCUGGGAUGGCUAGGGUGGUUGUGGUUGCAGGGGUCUUGACUCCAUGGUCAAUGAGUCUUUGUGCCAAACGCUUGGCACUGUCGAAGGUAGCGGGGUUGGAUGCUAAGACAUUCCCCUGGUACGGAGGCACUAGCCCCCAUACGUACCGUUCGAUCUUUUUCCCUUCAGUGGGAACCAUAUUGGGGCAUAGGGUCACCAGUUCGCUAAAUCGGGCAGUGUAAGCGAUCACAUUGGCGCCCUUUAUGGUCAGGUUCCAGAGUUCAUGUUCUAACUUCUGGACUUCACCCCUCGGGCAGUAUUCCUCAGUCAUGAGGUCCUUCAUCGUUUCCCAGCCCAUGUCGUUAGCCAGGACGAGAGUUAGGGCUUUAACGUGGCCGUUCCACCACGUUAGGGCUUUUCCCUCAAAGGUGCAUGCGGCAUAUUUCACUUUGCACGCAGCAGGGCAUGAACAGAUUUCGAAGACUGAUUCAGUCUUCUCGAACCAUUGCGAGAGGGCAAUGACUCCGCCGGUGCCAUAGAAAGGCUUCGGCUUGCAGUUUGUGAAAUCCUUGUAGGAGCACUCUCUUGAGCGCACAGGGAUUUCGAUCGGAAUAGAUUCCACAGGGGUUCCACCUCUGCUGGCAUCUGAUGAGUGAUACUGAGCCAUGGCAGUUGCCACUGCUGCAGCUACGGCAGCAUUCAGGGUUGCAGUAUCGAUGACCGGAGGCGGUGGAGGCGGUGGAGGUGCAGGAUUAUUCCUAUUCCUGGGAGAUUUGCGAGGAGGCAUCUUUCAGCUAUAAGUUUAUAAAGAUAAGAAAGAUGGUAAGAAUCAAUUUGUAAGCAACGUGAGAGUGACACAUGGACUAACUAACCAUAGCCCAACAGUUGAACGAGUGUUUGAAAUCACAAUAAGAAAUAUUAGUGGGAAUACACAAGUGUACAAAUUUCUCAUAGAUUAGAUAGACUUCAAUAGUACGGGUAUUACUAAUGUAAUAAGUUCAAGGAAAAUCGACCUAACAAUAGGUCUUACAUCAUACCAAUAGGAUAAGUCCGACAGUUCUUAGAUUCCUAAUUAGAGUACUGAAAGUUAGGAAUAUUUUACAGACAAGUGCUACAUAGAGCACAAAUGUUUAAAGGCUAAUCCCUAAUCAAAAGACAGAGAUGUACUAGACAUCAUCUAAUGGCGAUGGGAAUUCCUCGGGCGAGCCCUGAGGUCGGACACUUGGCGAAACACCUCUUGAAGGUGUCGAUCCUGAGCUCUCUGACGAGCUCGAAGUUCUAAGACUUCAGCACGGGAGGCAGCCAGCUGUUGCUGCAGAGUUUCGUUGGUUCUCCGGGUCCGUUCCAUGUCUUCUUCAAGACGGCGGAUGCGGACUGUGUUGACACCUGAAUUGGCAUCAAUCUCCAUGACCCGGUCGAUGGCUGCUCGACCUUGCUCGACAUUUCAAGCUAUUCUGCGGAUAAUGACAGGUAGAGCUCUGUCAGCAGAGCCACCAUCACUAACGUUGUAAAAGGUUCGGUCCCCAAAGUAUGGUAAGGGUUGACCCUGCUCAUCACUCCAGUGAUUCAGGUCGUUUGCCCACAUGGGAGUAGGACCUAGAAAAUCUGGUCGAGGGUUGUUAUUCGGGGAUUGACCUACAAGCGGUAGGUUGUUGACUUCAGGCUCGGAGUCGGAUCCACCAGAAAAGCCUUCUGCGAGGUGAUCAUCCAAAGGGAUUGGAUGCUCAUCUUCGGGCUCUUCAUCGAUCCACCCGGCAUUGCCUUCAUUGGGAAAGUACGGGUCGCCAUGAUGGAAUCCAGCCAUUUAGAUCUACGCGAGAAGAGAGGUAUAAGAAUAUAGUAUACGUGUAACUAGUAGUACAAAAUACACCUAUAGUAUUUUAAGUUUAAGUUCUACUGAUCUUCUUGUGGUAUUGUUGGUAAGUUUUUAGACUUGUUAACAUAUCACAACCAUUCUAGGGCAUAUGCUAAUCACUCCUAGGACCAGCAUAGUUGAUCAGGCUAUGCCAUUCCCAGGACUGACCAUACAUCCCCGAGCUCACUUGUGAUAUUUAACAAUCGUAAUACUUUUGUUCUUGUCAUUGUGACACUGAUUUUAGUAUGAAUGCAGACUAGUAUACUUAAUUAAAUAUUUUAAUAUUUAAAGUAUAGACUCUUGGUCAGAGUGUUUUAGUCCCUUUUGGGUUUAUAGAUUAGUAUAUCUUUUAUGGGUUGAUAUACUUGAUUCACUAUAAACAAUGCUCUGAUACCAAUCUGUCACACCCCAAAACCAAGAACGGCGGAAACGUUCUGGGGCGGAGGACGUCAUGUAUAGUAUCACAACACAGUAAAUGUAAAUAAGCAAACAACAUCAUCCAUUGCAUUAAAUAUAUAAUUUCAAUACAAGCGUGUUCUGUACAGUUAUAGACACCAAAAUAAUGUAAAACAAAAUAAUAUGAGAUGAGUCUUGAAUACGCUCCAUCUUCUCAAAAGCUGGCCUCGGUACCUGUCUACUGAUGACCUGAGAAUACAAGUUAUUUUGAAAGAGUUUCUCAGCAUUAAGCUGGUGAGUUCAUAAGUAUUUUAGUGUCAAUGUUUGAUGUCAAAACGUUUGAACCUGACGCAAGUAUAAGUUGAAAAUGUAUGUAAGUGUUUGAAAGUGUUUGUAAAACUUUGAAUCUCUCAGAAAAACCUAUAUUUUCUAUUAAAGUAACCUUCUACCAAGGGUUAGCUGUUUUGUAUACUCGUUUGUUGUAAAAGUAUGUAAUUUCCCAAGUGUAACUAUCAUUUAAUAAAAUAUAGUAUGUACAUUAAUGCUUAAGUGAGGUUAUCACUAAAAUAUGUAAUGGGUAAAUCAUUGUAGUACUGUAGUUUUGUAUAAUAAGAACUACUGUUGUACUAACUACCUUAAACCGGAUUUAUAUUAAGGUAAAAUGUGAUAAAUUGCACCAUGCUAUCGACUGGUAACAACGACAUACGAAUGGUCGUAAUAACGGAAUGACGUUUGGCACCCGCAGACCUGCAGGUCCGGCUGUAGCUAGCAGCAAGGUGUAGGAUAGUCAAUCCAGUAUAGAUCUAUAC
Molecule: long non-coding RNA, 10447 nt
Filed under: Lactuca sativa (garden lettuce)
Lineage: Eukaryota; Viridiplantae; Streptophyta; Magnoliopsida; Asterales; Asteraceae
Description: long non-coding RNA (LSAT_LNC007114)
Source: RNAcentral